Hydra vulgaris (swiftwater hydra) is the source of this 342-nucleotide long non-coding RNA. RefSeq lists it as uncharacterized. The record is from RefSeq and is a predicted model, not a curated record. NCBI's taxonomy places the organism in Eukaryota, Metazoa, Cnidaria, Hydrozoa, Anthoathecata, Hydridae.
UAAAUGGUUUAGAAAAGAUAAAAGAAAUUUGUUUUUAGUAUUAUAUUGUAGCUAAUGAAGCAGCUAAAAAGUCCUUUAAGGAAGAAUUUUAUGUGGAAUGUUAAUGCAAAAGGUACGAAUAUUGACAGUUAAACCAUCACCACCUCCACAGCCACCUUAUCUCAAGCAUUCAAUUGCAUUCUAAGUUAUCUUUAGUCAAAUCAAGUGUGACUACAAUACCAAAAGACUGUAGAAUGGACCAAUCAAGUAAGAUAUCUAAAUUUAUAUCUUUUAUAUAGAACUCCUUUACUUUUAAAUAAACCUGUUAAUUUUAUGACUUGUGAACAUAUUUAGCAAUGUAAG